This 1549-nucleotide long non-coding RNA is filed under the name Sus scrofa (pig). RNAcentral describes it as "lncRNA (ENSSSCG00030065057.1)". Lineage: Eukaryota; Metazoa; Chordata; Mammalia; Artiodactyla; Suidae. The record is from RNAcentral.
AUCUAUUAUUCAGAAGACAUCAGUUAAAACAUGGACGUAUUCAUAAAAACAAUUAAGGUUGUUCACUGAUAAAAGAAAAUGAUAUCAAAAUCUCAUCAUCAGGGAGCCCACACUCCGGCCUUUAUUAUGUUGAGGUAUGUUUCCUCUCUAUCUACUUUUGGAAGAGUUUUUAUCAUAAAUGCAUAUUGAAAAAGUGAUGUUAAUUUUUGCUGCCUCAAGUGGGACACAGAAGAAUCCCUGUGUCUUUUGUUCACGUAUACUUUCUCCUGCAAUUUCCUCUCUGACUCCCAAAUUUCCAUGUCAAGGCCAGCUCAUUCUUCAAGGUAUAACAUCGAUUAUAUUUCUGUCAUAUUGUGUUUUCUUAACCUCUCUGCAUCCCACCUUUGAAUCUUGCUUUAUUUGCAUUUUACAUGGCAUUUAUGUUAAUUUGGCUUGAGUUAUGAAUAUUUGAGAAAUUUUCUCUGUGUAACUAAAGACUGCAAGUUCUUUAAUUGAGAUAACUGUCCUUGUUUAUGUCUUCAAAACCUGAAGUUGCAUAAGGGAUGAAUGAAGGGAGGGGUUCAAGACAUCAAAUUAAGAGAGUCUUAGUGAACUCUGAUUGAGUGAUAUUGCAUGUGAUUCUUGAAUUUAAUUGCAUUAACACCUUGGGCUUUAUCAAUAUCCAGCAACAACCUAUGUUUCAAUACAAGAGAAAACAGAGGAUGUAGGAGGUAAUUGUGGAAACAAAUGAGCAGAGGGGCCAGAUGGGCACUAACAAAAUAAAUAUAUCAUUUGGUGAAAUGGUACAGCAUAUAAAAGUGAUCUCAUGAGAAACACAUUCAAAGUAUGAUUACCCUAUUUGAACUUACAGGAUUUUUUAGAGCUCAAUUCAUUUUCAGAGUGAAAGAGUUCCAAACAUAGGCUGCUGCCACCUUCAGGGAUUAAAAUAUUCAUCCCAGGGAAGAGGAUAGAGCAGCUUUGAACAAAGUCAACAGCUUGUGGUUGGCAGAGAGGAUACAGAGGUGUUGACCUUGCUUGCUUAGGUUACCAUGUUCAUUCAACCUUCCAAAUAUUAAAAACAGGAAAAUUGUCAAUUGUAUGUAAGUUUAAAAAAUUCAUUGAUAUGUGCCUCUUAGGACCAAAUAUUACUGCCAGUAUUUUUCCAGUCAUUCGAUAUUUCAAGAAAUUAUGUACAAUAGUCUACUUCUUAAGUUCUGUUAAAUCUAGUAAUUUUCCUUCCUCACAACAGUGCUAGAACUCACAUCUGGAAAGCGAUAGGAUGAGGGAACUCUUUAAAUUAGCUGUUCUCAAAAAAAGAGUUAAACCACGCAGCUGUGCUAUAUACAGUUCUACAUUGUUCUUCUGAAACAGGGGAGAAGAAGGAACUGUCUAAAGUCAAAUGACAGGUUAUUAUUUUGGUUAAUGUGAAGUGUUCAUCUGACAAGUUUAUUGAGUUCGAUUUGUGUGCAUAACCCCAAAGCAAAUUUACAGUUUAUCUGAUAGUCCUUCUUUUCCCCUUCCAAACCAACAAUCCACAAAUGUGCCAUCUGAAAAGAAAAAAAAUAAAAAA